GAUGAACGCUGGCGGCGUGCCUAAUACAUGCAAGUCGAGCGAACAGACGCGGAGCUUGCUCCUCUGACGUUAGCGGCGGACGGGUGAGUAACACGUGGAUAACCUACCUAUAAGACUGGGAUAACUUCGGGAAACCGGAGCUAAUACCGGAUAAUAUAUUGAACCGCAUGGUUCAAUAGUGAAAGACGGCUUUGCUGUCACUUAUAGAUGGAUCCGCGCCGCAUUAGCUAGUUGGUAGGGUAACGGCUUACCAAGGCGACGAUGCGUAGCCGACCUGAGAGGGUGAUCGGCCACACUGGAACUGAGACACGGUCCAGACUCCUACGGGAGGCAGCAGUAGGGAAUCUUCCGCAAUGGGCGAAAGCCUGACGGAGCAACGCCGCGUGAGUGAUGAAGGUCUUCGGAUCGUAAAACUCUGUUAUUAGGGAAGAACAAAUGUGUAAGUAACUAUGCACGUCUUGACGGUACCUAAUCAGAAAGCCACGGCUAACUACGUG
Molecule: ribosomal RNA, 497 nt
Filed under: uncultured bacterium
Lineage: Bacteria
Description: partial 16S ribosomal RNA
Rfam family: Bacterial small subunit ribosomal RNA
Source: RNAcentral